AUGAACACAUCCACUUUGGACAUGAGUUCUUCGUCAUCUUCAUCUGGCGACGAUGAACUCAUACUUGCAGCAUUCGCCGAGCGCGAGGAGGAAGAGAGGAUGAACGCUCGACGCCAUGGCGGUUCCAAGCAUGGACGUCAAACAAUCAAUCGAGGAAGAGAUGCCGGAUUUGUUCUUCUGUGGGACGACUACUUCAAAGAAGUUCCUCGCUAUCCCGAACAUUUGUUUCGACGAAGGUUCGUAAUUACUACACUUCUCUGCUUUAGCCCUUUUUUCAUUUCCCUGUCUCAUUUACUUUUUAUGCACAAAUUUAGGAUGUCCCGUAAUUUGUUCAAACGCAUAGCCGAUAGUAUACUUGAGCAUGAUUAUGAUGGUUAUUUUACUCAAAAAAGAAGUGCUUCUGGAGCUCUUGGGUUACAUCCUCUGCAAAAGAUGACCGCAGCAAUGCGGAUGCUAACAUAUGGAAUAGCAGCUGAUGGUGCUGAUGAGUACAUCCGGUCCGCUGAGGCUACUAAUUUAGAGUCUUGCAAGAAAUUUGUGAUCAAAGUUUAUGAAGUUUUUGGGGAAAGGUACCUGAGAUCUCCAAAUGAAGAAGACAUUGCCAGGUUACUUGCAAUAGGGGAGGAAAGAGGAUUUCCUGGUAUGUUAGGGAGCAUAGAUUGCAUGCACUGGGGUUGGAAAAAUUGCCCCAAAAAAUGGCAUGGCAUGUUUAAAGGCCAUGUCAGCGAGCCCACUAUGAUCUUGGAAGCAGUUGCUUCACAAGAUCUUUGGAUUUGGCAUGCUUAUUUUGGUUUACCAGGGUCUCUGAAUGAUAUAAAUGUUCUUCAACGUUCUCCUGUUUUUACAAAGCUAGCUGAAGGCCAAACUCCUCCAGUGAAUUAUAGCAUCAAUGGCCAUCAGUACACAAUGGGGUAUUAUCUUGCAGAUGGUAUCUAUCCACGGUGGGCAACAUUUGUGAAGAGCAUACCAGCUCCAGAUACCAGAAAACAUAAAACUUUUGCCAAGAGGCAAGAGGGGGCUAGGAAAGAUGUGGAACGAGCCUUUGGAGUUCUUCAAUCCCGUUUUGCCAUUGUUCGUGGACCUGCUAAAGGAUGGAAACGUAAAGAAAUCGGUGAUGUCAUGAAAGCUUGUGUCAUAAUGCACAAUAUGAUAGUUGAAGAGGAGCGACAAACUGGUCGGCAAAGCUGCACUUUUGAGGCAAUGGGAGAAAGAGUCACGGUCUCUCAUACUCAUGCGGAACAACUGAGCUCUUUUAUUCAGAUGACUCACCGGAUUAGAAAUCAAGGUGAACAUGAUCAGCUUAAACUUGAUCUAAUUGACCAUGUGUGGCAAAAGUUUGGAAACGAGUGA
RNAcentral lists this ribosomal RNA (1350 nucleotides) under Triticum aestivum (bread wheat). RNAcentral's name for it is "partial small subunit ribosomal RNA". Lineage: Eukaryota; Viridiplantae; Streptophyta; Magnoliopsida; Poales; Poaceae. The record is from RNAcentral.